RNAcentral lists this ribosomal RNA (169 nucleotides) under uncultured bacterium. RNAcentral describes it as "partial 16S rRNA". It matches the Rfam family "Bacterial small subunit ribosomal RNA", at positions 338 to 524 of the family's 1533-position model. The record is from RNAcentral.
CCUACGGGAGGCAGCAGUGGGGAAUCUUGCACAAUGGGGGCAACCCUGAUGCAGCGACGCCGCGUGAGGGAUGAAGGCCCUCGGGGUGUAAAGCCCUUUCGACCGGGACGAUUAUGACGGUACCCGGAGAAGAAGCCCCGGCUAACUUCGUGCCAGCAGCCGCGGUAAU